This 495-nucleotide ribosomal RNA is filed under the name uncultured bacterium. RNAcentral describes it as "partial 16S ribosomal RNA". It matches the Rfam family "Bacterial small subunit ribosomal RNA", at positions 28 to 507 of the family's 1533-position model. The record is from RNAcentral.
GACGAACGCUGGCGGCGUGCCUAAUACAUGCAAGUAGAACGCUGAAGGAGGAGCUUGCUUCUCUGGAUGAGUUGCGAACGGGUGAGUAACGCGUAGGUAACCUGCCUGGUAGCGGGGGAUAACUAUUGGAAACGAUAGCUAAUACCGCAUAAGAGUAGAUGUUGCAUGACAUUUGCUUAAAAGGUGCAAUUGCAUCACUACCAGAUGGACCUGCGUUGUAUUAGCUAGUUGGUGGGGUAACGGCUCACCAAGGCGACGAUACAUAGCCGACCUGAGAGGGGGGUCGGCCACACUGGGACUGAGACCCGGCCCAGACUCCUACGGGAGGCAGCAGUAGGGAAUCUUCGGCCAUGGACGGAAGUCUGACCGAGCAACGCCGCGUGAGUGAAGAAGGUUUUCGGAUCGUAAAGCUCUGUUGUAAGAGAAGAACGAGUGUGAGAGUGGAAAGUUCACACUGUGACGGUAUCUUACCAGAAAGGGACGGCUAACUACGUG